UACGUAGGGUGCAAGCGUUGUCCGGAAUCAUUGGGCGUAAAGAGCGUGUAGGCGGCCCGGUAAGUCCGCCGUGAAAGUCCAGGGCUCAACCCUGGAAUGCCGGUGGAAACUGCCGGGCUGGAGUCCGGAAGAGGCGAGUGGAAUUCCUGGUGUAGCGGUGAAAUGCGCAGAUAUCAGGAGGAACACCAAUGGCGAAGGCAGCUCGCUGGGACGGUACUGACGCUGAGACGCGAAAGCGUGGGGAGCGAACAGG
This 253-nucleotide ribosomal RNA is filed under the name uncultured bacterium. Its description in RNAcentral is "partial 16S ribosomal RNA". It matches the Rfam family "Bacterial small subunit ribosomal RNA", at positions 524 to 776 of the family's 1533-position model. The record is from RNAcentral.